GACGAACGCUGGCGGCGUGCUUAACACAUGCAAGUCGAACGGAAAGGCCCUGCUUUUGUGGGGUGCUCGAGUGGCGAACGGGUGAGUAACACGUGAGUAACCUGCCCUUGACUUUGGGAUAACUUCAGGAAACUGGGGCUAAUACCGGAUAGGAGCUCCUGCUGCAUGGUGGGGGUUGGAAAGUUUCGGCGGUUGGGGAUGGACUCGCGGCUUAUCAGCUUGUUGGUGGGGUAGUGGCUUACCAAGGCUUUGACGGGUAGCCGGCCUGAGAGGGUGACCGGCCACAUUGGGCCUGCGAUACGGCCCAGUCUCCUACGGGAGGCAGCAGUGGGGAAUAUUGCACAAUGGGCGGAAGCCUGAUGCAGCAACGCCGCGUGCGGGAUGACGGCCUUCGGGUUGUAAACCGCUUUCGCCUGUGACGAAGCGUGAGUGACGGUAAUGGGUAAAGAAGCACCGGCUAACUACGUG
Molecule: ribosomal RNA, 468 nt
Filed under: uncultured bacterium
Lineage: Bacteria
Description: partial 16S ribosomal RNA
Rfam family: Bacterial small subunit ribosomal RNA
Source: RNAcentral